Molecule: transfer RNA, 75 nt
Filed under: Ornithorhynchus anatinus (platypus)
Lineage: Eukaryota; Metazoa; Chordata; Mammalia; Monotremata; Ornithorhynchidae
Rfam family: tRNA
About the family: Transfer RNA (tRNA) molecules are approximately 80 nucleotides in length.
Source: Rfam by way of RNAcentral
AGCAGCGUGGCCCGGUGGAGCGAGGGCACGGGCCUGGAAACCCGCAGAACCUGGGUUCAAAUCCCUGCUCUGCCA